UGUCGGAAUUAUCAUUCAUAAUAUAUUAUUUUAGUUGUAUUUUUCUGAUGAUGGUUAGAUUAGUUGAGCCACACUCAGAUCUGGUCACUCAUUUAUUAGAUAUACUAAAUUCUAACAUGUUAAUGGUUGGACCUAACCAGAACCUUUAAUGGAGGUGCCACAUACCUGCUGAAGAGGUGUCUGGGGCAAAAUUGAAUACUAAAAAUUAUUUGAUAAAAUAAUUAUUUAAGAAUCUAUCCGUGGGUACAUAAGGGUUGGCCGAGCCACACUUGGGCCCAUGUGCAGUCCAUGUAGAUUCUAGUACCCACUAAAGAAUUAGUAUAAUUCUUCGAGUUGAAGGUAGAGGCUAUCAAUUCGAAUAAAAUAGUGAGAGAAUUUUUAGACUAAAAUCUAUAUCUUUAGGCUUAAUCAAUUCAUAUACUAAUUAGGUUCUAAUUUUUCUUUUGUAGUUAUGGCUACCAUCUUGUCACUCCGAUCACUAUUAGAUAGUGAUAAAUUGAUGGGACCAAAUUUUGAUAGCUGGUAUCGAAAGCUCAAAAUAGUUCUGGAGCA
This 552-nucleotide long non-coding RNA is filed under the name Elaeis guineensis (African oil palm). RNAcentral's name for it is "long non-coding RNA (EGUI_LNC038325)". The record is from RNAcentral. Lineage: Eukaryota; Viridiplantae; Streptophyta; Magnoliopsida; Arecales; Arecaceae.